AGAUUGAACGCUGGCGGCAGGCCUAACACAUGCAAGUCGAGCGGCAGCACGGGUACUUGUACCUGGUGGCGAGCGGCGGACGGGUGAGUAAUGCCUAGGAAUCUGCCUGAUAGUGGGGGAUAACGUUCGGAAACGGACGCUAAUACCGCAUACGUCCUACGGGAGAAAGUGGGGGAUCUUCGGACCUCACGCUAUCAGAUGAGCCUAGGUCGGAUUAGCUAGGUUGGUAAGGGU
RNAcentral lists this ribosomal RNA (234 nucleotides) under uncultured soil bacterium. RNAcentral's name for it is "partial 16S ribosomal RNA". It matches the Rfam family "Bacterial small subunit ribosomal RNA", at positions 26 to 259 of the family's 1533-position model. The record is from RNAcentral.